RNAcentral lists this ribosomal RNA (301 nucleotides) under uncultured bacterium. RNAcentral's name for it is "partial 16S ribosomal RNA". It matches the Rfam family "Bacterial small subunit ribosomal RNA", at positions 509 to 809 of the family's 1533-position model. The record is from RNAcentral.
CAGUAGCCACGGUAACACGGAGGGGGCUAGCGUUGUUCGGAAUUACUGGGCGUAAAGCGCACGUAGGCGGCUUUGUAAGUUAGAGGUGAAAGCCUGGAGCUCAACUCCAGAAUUGCCUUUAAGACUGCAUCGCUUGAAUCCGGGAGAGGUGAGUGGAAUUCUUGGUGUAGCGGUGAAAUGCGUAGAUAUCAAGAGGAACACCGGUGGCGAAGGCGGCUUCCUGGACAAGUCCUGACUCUGAAACACGAAAGCCAGGGGAGCGAAUGGGAUUAGAUACCCCAGUAGUCCCUGUCUCUUAUAA